This 253-nucleotide ribosomal RNA is filed under the name uncultured bacterium. Its description in RNAcentral is "partial 16S ribosomal RNA". It matches the Rfam family "Bacterial small subunit ribosomal RNA", at positions 524 to 776 of the family's 1533-position model. The record is from RNAcentral.
UACGUAGGGUGCGAGCGUUAAUCGGAAUUACUGGGCGUAAAGUGUGCGCAGGUGGCCGCGCAAGUCGAGUGUGAAAUCCCCGAGCUUAACUUGGGAAUUGCGCUCGAAACUACGUGGCUCGAGUGUGGCAGAGGAAGGUGGAAUUCCUAGUGUAGAGGUGAAAUUCGUAGAUAUUAGGAAGAACACCGGUGGCGAAGGCGGUCGACUGGGCCAGUACUGACGCUGAGGCGCGACAGCGUGGGGAGCAAACAGG